GACGAACGCUGGCGGCGUGCCUAAUACAUGCAAGUAGAACGCACAGUUUAUACCGUAGCUUGCUACACCAUAGACUGUGAGUUGCGAACGGGUGAGUAACGCGUAGGUAACCUGCCUGGUAGCGGGGGAUAACUAUUGGAAACGAUAGCUAAUACCGCAUAAUAUUAAUUAUUGCAUGAUAAUUAAUUGAAAGGUGCAAUUGCACCACUACCAGAUGGACCUGCGUUGUAUUAGCUAGUAGGUGAGGUAACGGCUCACCUAGGCGACGAUACAUAGCCGACCUGGGAGGGUGAUCGGCCACACUGGGACUGAGACACGGCCCAGACUCCUACGGGAGGCAGCAGUAGGGAAUCUUCGGCAAUGGACGAAAGUCUGACCGAGCAACGCCGCGUGAGUGAAGAAGGGUUUCGGAUCGUAAAGCUCUGUUGUAAGAGAAGAACGGGUGUGAGAGUGGAAAGUUCACACUGUGACGGUAUCUUACCAGAAAGGGGCGGCUAACUACGUG
This 505-nucleotide ribosomal RNA is filed under the name uncultured bacterium. RNAcentral's name for it is "partial 16S ribosomal RNA". It matches the Rfam family "Bacterial small subunit ribosomal RNA", at positions 28 to 507 of the family's 1533-position model. The record is from RNAcentral.